This 498-nucleotide ribosomal RNA is filed under the name uncultured bacterium. Its description in RNAcentral is "partial 16S ribosomal RNA". It matches the Rfam family "Bacterial small subunit ribosomal RNA", at positions 899 to 1397 of the family's 1533-position model. The record is from RNAcentral.
ACUCAAAGGAAUAGACGGGGGCCCGCACAAGCGGUGGAGCAUGUGGUUUAAUUCGACGCAACGCGAAGAACCUUACCUGGGCUAGACAACAGUGGACCGUCCUAGAAAUAGGAUUUUCCCUUCGGGGACCGCUGGUUCAGGUGCUGCAUGGCUGUCGUCAGCUCGUGCCGUGAGGUGUUGGGUUAAGUCCCGCAACGAGCGCAACCCUCGUACUUAGUUGCCACCAUUGAGUUGGGCACUCUAGGUAGACUGCCGGCGUUAAGCCGGAGGAAGGUGGGGACGACGUCAAGUCAUCAUGGCCCUUAUGUCCAGGGCCACACACGUGCUACAAUGGACGGUACAAAGGGUCGCAAACCCGCAAGGGGGAGCCAAUCCCAAAAAGCCGUUCUCAGUUCGGAUUGGAGUCUGCAACUCGACUCCAUGAAGUUGGAAUCGCUAGUAAUCGCGGAUCAGCACGCCGCGGUGAAUACGUUCCCGGGCCUUGCACACACCGCCCGU